CUACGGGUGGCACCAGUGGGGAAUAUUGCACAAUGGGCGCAAGCCUGAUGCAGCCAUGCCGCGUGUAUGAAGAAGGCCUUCGGGUUGUAAAGUACUUUCAGCGGGGAGGAAGGGAGUAAAGUUAAUACCUUUGCUCAUUGACGUUACCCGCAGAAGAAGCGCCAGCUAACUCCGUGCCAGCAGCCGCGGUAAUACGGAGGGUGCAAGCGUUAAUCGGAAUUACUGGGCGUAAAGCGCACGCAGGCGGUUUGUUAAGUCAGAUGUGAAAUCCCCGGGCUCAACCUGGGAACUGCAUCUGAUACUGGCAAGCUUGAGUCUCGUAGAGGGGGGUAGAAUUCCAGGUGUAGCGGUGAAAUGCGUAGAGAUCUGGAGGAAUACCGGUGGCGAAGGCGGCCCCCUGGACGAAGACUGACGCUCAGGUGCGAAAGCGUGGGGAGCAAACAGGAUUAGAUACCCGGGUAGUC
RNAcentral lists this ribosomal RNA (464 nucleotides) under uncultured bacterium. RNAcentral's name for it is "partial 16S ribosomal RNA". It matches the Rfam family "Bacterial small subunit ribosomal RNA", at positions 339 to 795 of the family's 1533-position model. The record is from RNAcentral.